This 203-nucleotide ribosomal RNA is filed under the name uncultured bacterium. RNAcentral's name for it is "partial 16S ribosomal RNA". It matches the Rfam family "Bacterial small subunit ribosomal RNA", at positions 524 to 726 of the family's 1533-position model. The record is from RNAcentral.
UACGUAGGGACCGAGCGUUGUCCGGAAUCAUUGGGCGUAAAGAGCGUGUAGGCGGCCAAUUAAGUCCUGCGUGAAAUCUCGGGGCUCAACCCCGAGCGGUCGUGGGAAACUGGUUGGCUAGAGUGCGGGAGAGGAGAGUGGAAUUCCUGGUGUAGCGGUGAAAUGCGCAGAUAUCAGGAGGAACACCGGUGGCGAAGGCGGGU